This is a long non-coding RNA of Brassica oleracea var. oleracea, 186 nucleotides long. RefSeq lists it as uncharacterized. NCBI's taxonomy places the organism in Eukaryota, Viridiplantae, Streptophyta, Magnoliopsida, Brassicales, Brassicaceae. The record is from RefSeq and is a predicted model, not a curated record. The transcript is spliced from 3 exons.
ACCAAAGUUGUCUCUGGUGUGAACCUUAGCCCUAGAAGCACUAGAACUUACUUGAAGACUAGUCUUAGAUGCAAGCAAGAAACUUUAAGGAUCAAGAAUGCUAAUAACAAGAAAUCUCCAAUAGGAAAGUUUCCAGCUUCCUCACCAGGAGACUGGAGGAAAAUGUCACUACCAGCAAUGCUACUA